Molecule: ribosomal RNA, 119 nt
Organism: Triticum dicoccoides
Lineage: Eukaryota; Viridiplantae; Streptophyta; Magnoliopsida; Poales; Poaceae
Source: RefSeq, a predicted model, not a curated record
GGAUGCGAUCAUACCAGCACUAAGCCAUUGGAUCCCAUCGAAACUCCGAAGUUAAGCGUGCUUGGACGAGAGUAGUACUAGGAUGGGGGACCUCCUGGGAAGUCCUCGUGUUGCAUUCC